Long non-coding RNA from Physeter macrocephalus (sperm whale), 1546 nucleotides. RefSeq lists it as uncharacterized. The transcript has 8 exons. The record is from RefSeq and is a predicted model, not a curated record. NCBI's taxonomy places the organism in Eukaryota, Metazoa, Chordata, Mammalia, Artiodactyla, Physeteridae.
AGCAGUGAACGCUUUGACGAUAUCCCUCUCGUGUACUAAACCUAGCUGUCUCUAUUACAAACGUUCCUUGCUGUUGCUCUAGCCGUUCCUGUGACUUCCCUCUUGCUUCCAGUUGCCCUCUAUCUCUUCCUGAGAGAUUUUACCAAGUCUUGACUUGACCUCGUAGGACACAUAUCUUGGACUUUGGGCCACCCUCCUGCUCCUCUCAAAUUAACCUUCUCUAAUUAACAACCAAUUGCUUCUGGAUGCUGUUUCCUGAUUUCUGAAGUGACAGCUAAGUAUUUUGAGUUUUGAAUGGACUUUUUGCUGUUGUCUCAGAAUUGUGGUUAACGUCUGAGGACAGUAUGUGCUAAAUAAUCUCCAUUUGUUCACUGGACCCUAAGCAGAACUCCUAAAUCAAGGAAGAAAAUUUCAAGAGAACCACUCAGAGAUUGGAAAUGUCUAUAAGCAGGAAAAACUGGAAUCAGUCUCUAUACGGGAAAGAAAAUGGGAAAGUGGAAAUGGACAAGAGCUAUUGCAUCCAUGAAAUGGUAAUAUGACCAGUGAGAUUCCUAACCUCCAAUCCCAGAAGAUGCCUGGAAACCUGUGCCCUUUGCCAGCCUCGUGAAUUCAUAAUAGCUUGUAAACACCAAGAUUUCUGGAGCCACAUUUCCCAAUAGACUGCAAAGAGCUGGCCUUGAAAGUACAGCAUGAAGAGAAGCUGGAAAGAGCAUUCUCAGCAGUGAGGUAUGUUGAGGGACAUGAGAAUCAACUCUUUAAGAAAUCUUCAGGACUUCUGGUACAAUAUGACCAAAGAAUCAGCUGAUGCAAUUGUGCAUCUGGCUCUAUGAAUAUAUUCCCAAUAUAUAACUGCAUGUUCAAAUGUCUGAGUGUGUGUGUAUUUUAUAAUCCUCUUGCUUGUGCCCUGCUAUAUCUAAGACCCUGGAAUAAUGUUUCUUGGCUGCACUCACUUUAGAAUCAGCUGGGUAGUUUAAAAAAUUUUUGACUCCUGGGUUCCACCUCCAGAGAACCUGAUUUGAUUGGUCUAGAAUGUGGUCUGUGCACAUUCCAGACCAGUGUUCUGUAACUAUAAGCGUUAUACUUGGAACUUAAACUCUAAAUAUUAACUACUGUUUUCUCUUGUUUUUCUAUUUUUCCCCCAAUACAAAUGUCUGAGGUAGAGCUGCCCCAAGACUCUCUCUGAAUUCUACCGCUCCACUCACCAAUUUUUGCCUAUCGUAUGCAUCCCAACUUCAUGUGGCCUAUGUGGGGAAUUUCAGAUACCUCUGAGAAUCUCUUCCCUGCUUACAGUUUUAUACCACAGGAGGAAUGGAAAUUAAAACGUACACAGAAGUAGAGACUAGAACAAUGAACCCCCAUGUGCCCUUCACCCAACUUCAACAGCCAUCAACUCAUGGCCAAUCUCGUUUCAACUAUAUCCAUCCAUUCUACCACCCCCACUGCUCCCCUCCUUCCACCACCACCACUAACACUACUGGAUUAUUUUGAAGCAAAUCCCAGGUGGAAUAUAAUUUCCAUCAUGAAUUGUUCAGUAUGGAUUUCUAAA